This is a non-coding RNA of Lactuca sativa (garden lettuce), 870 nucleotides long. NCBI's taxonomy places the organism in Eukaryota, Viridiplantae, Streptophyta, Magnoliopsida, Asterales, Asteraceae. The record is from RefSeq and is a predicted model, not a curated record.
CUGUAAUUAUAAAAAAUUAUAGAUAUGGAUAUAUAAGAUGAUUCCGGUUGUUCGUGCAUGUGGAUGUGUAUUGAGAAAAAAUAAAGACAUGCCUCGGAUGAAACGAUGGAGUGGAACAAAAAAAUUGAAAUGGGUUGACGUGAACAAGAUUUUUUCAAAGAUACAGGUUUAUAAAUUUUUCGUUUAUUAUUAAUAAACUUGAUUAUUAUACUUUUAUAUGCAUUUUUAAUAUGUUUGAUUUUUUAGGAGGAGCUAACACCAAGACAAAACAUGUCACCGAGUGAUGGUGAGAUGACAUCUUGUUAUUAUAUGUCAUUUCAAGAGUAUGUAUAUGAUGAAGGGAAACCAGUUCCAUCCCCAGUACGGGACCAUUUUAGGAGACAAGACGAAUCUUCGUCUUGUAUGUCGUCCAGUGGUCGCUCUCAUUGUAGAGGUAGGGGCAGUGGGAAACACAACCUAGACGAGGUGUUGAAACGGCUACAUGCACUGGAGCAGCAUGUGUUUAUGAACUGACAACCUACGGAGGUUUUUGUUGAAGAAGUGAAUACUAAACAAUUUUGGAAUGACAUUACUUUUGAUGAUCCUAUAGUGUCACAAAGAAAAUAUGAUGAACAUGUUGUACAAGAUGAAGUGAUGAAUAAAAACAAUACAACUGAAAAUAUUUUUGGUGAUAUUGAAGACGACAAGGUGUUGGAGGAGAGGAAUGACUAUGCGGGGAACAAAUUUGAUGAUGAUAUGUUUGAUGUAAAUGAUUAUAGUGAAGUUAAAGAGGUUCUUAUACUUACAUUAAUUUAUAUUUUGUUUUUAGUAGAUUGAAACAUCUGUAACAAUCUGUAACAACUUCCAAGAAUCUGUAACAACUUCCAAGAA